UACAGAGGUCCCAAGCGUUGUUCGGAUUCACUGGGCGUAAAGGGUGUGUAGGCGGUUUUCUAAGUUUGGUGUGAAAUCUCCCGGCUCAACCGGGAGGGUGCGCCGAAAACUGGGAGACUAGAGUGCGGGAUGGGAGAGUAGAAUUCCUGGUGUAGCGGUGAAAUGCGUAGAUAUCGGGAGGAAUACCGGUGGUGUAGACGGCUCUCUGGACCGCCACUGACGCUGAGACACGAAAGCGUGGGUAGCAAACAGG
RNAcentral lists this ribosomal RNA (253 nucleotides) under uncultured bacterium. Its description in RNAcentral is "partial 16S ribosomal RNA". It matches the Rfam family "Bacterial small subunit ribosomal RNA", at positions 524 to 776 of the family's 1533-position model. The record is from RNAcentral.